ACACGUAGGGCGCAAGCGUUGUCCGGAUUUAUUGGGCGUAAAGGGCUCGUAGGCGGUUUCGUAAGUCGGGUGUGAAAACUCAGGGCUCAACCCUGAGACGCCACUCGUUACUGCGAUGACUUGAGUCCGGUAGGGGAGCAGGGAAUUCCUGGUGUAGCGGUGAAAUGCGCAGAUAUCAGGCGGAACACCAUUAGCGAAGGCGCUGCUCUGGGCCGGUACUGACGCUGAGGAGCGAAAGCAUGGGGAGCAAACAGGAUUAGAUACCCCAGUAGUCC
Molecule: ribosomal RNA, 275 nt
Filed under: uncultured bacterium
Lineage: Bacteria
Description: partial 16S ribosomal RNA
Rfam family: Bacterial small subunit ribosomal RNA
Source: RNAcentral